CGUGGUGCACUGGCUGGAACGAGAAAUAGCCCAAUGGGCCCACUGACGGGGAUCGAUCCCACACCGACCGCGCAACGAGCGAGCUACGUCCCGCCCCUGAUUGAAGGGAUCACACCGCUAUUUCAGCCAAUGAAUUUAGUUCUAUGAAAAAGAGUACCUCUUUUCUUUAUUUUAUUAUGUUGGUGUCUGAACAGACUUGACAGUAUGAUUAUGGAAUAUUGGAAGGGUAACAUUGCCUAUUGAUUUUGGCAUAUCAACCUGACAGAUGCAUAUCUGCUUAGCUACAGGCAAGACCAUUGUUUACUAUGCCUGUGGUACAUAUAUUUAACGAGAGUAGCCUCCCCUCCAUUAGCCCAUGUGCUUAGGAGACUGGAUAAUUGAAAUUGCAGGUGGCGAAGUAUCAAUUUUAUUUGUUUAAACCCUGUCACAGAGGCUGUUCUCUUCAUGUCAGGAAAUCUUCCAAGACAUCGGGAACAGCUGGGUGAGGCCGAAGUAACCGCAUAUUGCCAGUCGUCCCCUGUGAAUUGGUGACCACAUAUGAAGAUGCACCUCGACUCGUUGACGGCUUAGCCACUGCAUCAAAGUCUUCCCUGGACAGCCUAGUACACGCCAAAUCAGACCAAUACAGUGACACUCCUCAAAGAGUUAUCUCCCCUUGGCCAGUCGUCAACAUAUAACCAAGUGACUUUCGAGAAGUACAAAAUGUUAGUAUUCAUGUUGGAGCAAUAAAAUUUAUAAACC
Molecule: long non-coding RNA, 741 nt
Organism: Gigantopelta aegis
Lineage: Eukaryota; Metazoa; Mollusca; Gastropoda; Neomphalida; Peltospiridae
Exons: 3
Source: RefSeq, a predicted model, not a curated record